GAUGAACGCUGGCGGCGUGCCUAACACAUGCAAGUCGAACGGAGUCCAGCCUUUAAGACCUUCGGGUCAAGGCGGGGAAGACUGAGUGGCGGACGGGUGAGUAACACGUGGGCAACCUGGCUCAUAGAGGGGGAUAACAGAGAGAAAUUUCUGCUAAUACCGCAUAAGCACACACUGCCGCAUGGCAGAGGGUGAAAAGAGAAUCGCUAUGAGAUGGACCCGCGUCUGAUUAGCCAGUUGGCAGGGUAAGAGCCUACCAAAGCGACGAUCAGUAGCCGAUCUGAGAGGAUGAACGGCCACAUUGGGACUGAGACACGGCCCAAACUCCUACGGGAGGCAGCAGUGGGGGAUAUUGCACAAUGGGGGGAACCCUGAUGCAGCGACGCCGCGUGAGUGAAGAAGUAUUUCGGUAUGUAAAGCUCUAUCAGCAGGGAAGAUAAUGACAGUACCUGAAGAAGAAGCCCCGGCUAACUACGUG
RNAcentral lists this ribosomal RNA (478 nucleotides) under uncultured bacterium. RNAcentral describes it as "partial 16S ribosomal RNA". It matches the Rfam family "Bacterial small subunit ribosomal RNA", at positions 28 to 507 of the family's 1533-position model. The record is from RNAcentral.